AUUGAACGCUGGCGGAAUGCUUUACACAUGCAAGUCGAACGGUAGAGGGGGCAACCCCUCGAGAGUGGCGAACGGGUGAGUAAUAUAUCGGAACGUGCCCAGUCGUGGGGGAUAACGUAGCGAAAGCUGCGCUAAUACCGCAUACGCCCUGAGGGGGGAAAGCGGGGGACCGUAAGGCCUCACACCAUCGGAUGUGCCCAGAUGGGAUUAGCUAGUAGGUGGGGUAAUGGCUCACCUAGGCGACGAUCCCUAGCUGGUCUGAGAGGAUGACCAGCCACACUGGAACUGAGACACGGUCCAGACUCCUACGGGAGGCAGCAGUGGGGAAUAUUGGACAAUGGGCGCAAGCCUGAUCCAGCCAUGCCGCGUGUGUGAAGAAGGCCUGGUGUAAGCACUUUCAGCGAGGAGGAAGGGGUGAGUGUUAAUAGUACUCAUCUUUGACGUUACUCG
Molecule: ribosomal RNA, 450 nt
Filed under: uncultured bacterium
Lineage: Bacteria
Description: bacterial SSU rRNA
Rfam family: Bacterial small subunit ribosomal RNA
Source: RNAcentral